AGAUGCUCCCCGGCCUGGCUCCGAGUAACUGCGAGCUGGAGGCGCGGCUGCUCUCUCGGGCGGACCUCAGCUCUGCGAACCCUGUGGCUGCCGGAGCACUGAGCGCCCUGCCCGGAGUCCCGCGGAGCCUGGCGAGGAGGGGUCGCUGCAUCCCGAGGGCCAGCCCUGAGCCGGGAGGUGGGGUAACAAUUGAGGGCGUAUGCUUAAAAGCUGCUAGGUCAUGCAUCCCCAAAUCGAAGGUUUGCAGACCUGGUAGGACGCCUGGGGGUCAGAAGUGAUUUUUGGAGUACCCAAGUUUUUAGUGUCAGUGAAGAGUUUGUGGAUAUUUUUGAGUUCUGCUGAGGCAUUUGCAAAGUAUUUUCUUUGGGGAAGAAUUCUUAAGAGUUGGAAGGGCCUUGGCUGUGUCACCUUGUCCAGUUCCCAGAGAACCAAAAAACAAAACAGAACAAAACGAAACAAAACCACCCCUCUAAAUUCUGUGCCCAAGUUGUCCCAUCCAAGCAUGCCUAGGAGUUUUAGAUUUAUGUAGCUGACACCUGUGGACUACCUAUAGUGAGCCAGGCUAAUUGUAAGUCUUUGGACAACCCUGUAAGGAAAAUGAUAUUGCCCUGUUGAGCUGAUGUGGAAAUUGCCCUGUUGAGCAUAUUGCCCUGUUGAGCUGAUGUGGAAACUGAGACCCAGAAAGAUUAAUCAGGUGAAUUCCCCAAAGACAGGAGGCUUGCAGGUGGGCAGAGUCCAAGUCUCAAGUAACUUUAUCAUUAAGUUUCAUCAGGUAGAUCUGGGUAAUAGUGUAGAUGGGGCAACACCAAAAGUCAAAUAGAACAAUUUGGGCUUAUCCCAAAGAGAUUUUUUUUUUUUUGAGAUGGAGUUUCCGUCUUGUUGCGUAGGCUGGAGUGCACUGGCACAAUCUCGGCUCACUGCAACCUCCACCUCCUGGGUUCAAGUGAUUCUCCUGUCUCGGGCUCCCGAGUAGCUGGGAUUACAAGCAUGCGCCACCAGGCCCGGCUAAUUUUUUGUAUUUAGUAGAGAUGGGGUUUCACCUUGUUGGUCAGACUGGUCUCAAACUCCUGAUUUCAGGUGAUCCACCCGCUUCGGCCUCCCAGUGUUGGGAUUACAGGUGUGAGCCACCACACCUGGCCUCUCCAUAUAUUACAAAGUGGUAGUUGGUAGGCUGAGCUGCCUCUCUCAGAGACCUUGACUCUCUCCAAGGCUGUUAGAUAACCUCAGAGGUAAUGGAAAUGCAGUAAUCAGAUAUUGCAGAUAAUACAAGACUCAUUCAUUUCCAGAAGAUGAAACAGCUGUCAUGGAAAUAUUUUUUAAAUCUCAUACUGGUAAGCAUAUUUUGAUAGUGAAACCUUUUGCAAUGCAAGCAAACUACUCUCAGGCUUAUACCUACCACAGAAAAGAGUGGGGUGUGGGAAAUUAGCUUAUCUUUUUCAAACUAUAAUUUUAAAAAUAUAGAAAGAGCAUGUGUCAAAGAUUUACUUAGCUCAUUAAUUAGGGAACCAACAGGGUGCUAAAGAAGAAGUUAAAAGACUAGUUUAAUAUAGUCAAUGUUAAAAAAAGAAUGCUGGAAUAGAUUGCAAAGUUAGAAACAAAACUGGUUAAUAUCCCAUAGAGCAAUAAAACCAUAACCUCGGGAGGAAUGUUUUUCCUAUUGGAGAAAUCAUUUGCAUAUCUACCAGCUGUCAUUUACUAAAGCCCCAUUAUAUCCAGCAUUUGAGAGAAAGGAGAUGGUUAAAGAGACAGACAUUCCUGGUUAAAGAGACAGACAUUUAGAUUCCUAGAUCCUAAAGAGGGUCAUCUUGGGUCCGUAUUUGGUUUACUAAACUGUUAAGAGGUGUCCAGACCAUGCCUUGUAAACAUGGCUGCCAUGGCCCUGUGGGUGGGAGGGCCAGUUGCAGCAAAAGGGAACCAUUGUGAUUUUGGUAGAUUCUCCACCUGAGCUUGAAGAUCAUUGUAUCUGUGCUAAGGAGUUUGGAUUCCGUGCUGAGAGCAAGCAGAGAGCCAUUGAAGAUACAAUUGGCAUGCCCAGCUAUCCAGUUCUCAGUGAAAUCCUGGACUCCAGAUAUAUCUUCAGGGUGUAAUGGUUCUGGAUAAGAGUAGGAAAGGCAGAAACUCAGUCAAGACCUCUCUAAAGCUCUAAUCUUCACCCUGUUAUAUAACCAGCUUCCCCUGGAGCUUAUGAAAAUCUUGGGGAGGGGGUCCUCCAGUCUGGUUAGAUCCUGUCUUAUUGAUUGCAGGGGACUGAUGCUGCCUGGGAGGGCCGUUGAUGUUCUUUGGGUUGAGAGAAUCUCAGACUCUCUUAGCAGGUGCACAGGAAGUGUUGUCUCCGGCUAUAAUGAAUCUUUGGGGUCAGCAUAUCGACUUCACAGUGUUGUGCUCAGUGGUAGUGUGAAUGUUUCUUUUUUAAGAUCAUAGAAUAGAUUAUAUCAGAGUAGAAUGUUACAUGAUGACUCUGUCAGUCAUGAUAAUUUUUAUUUCCAAUAUUUACAUCAUCAGAUACUGUUGUUACAGCAUGUACAGAGUCUGUCACAUUCAGUCUUGAGGAACAAUUCUGAUACACUGUCCCAAUUAACAGUGCAAGCUAGAAACCUGGAAGAGUCUUUGAUUCCCUUACCUCACUGACACCUCACAUCUAUCAUUCAUCAAAUACUAGUGAUUCUGUCUCCUAAAUAUAUUUUUUUAAUUUUCCCCCUCAUCUCACAUCCCUCUGCAUCGUCUUAAUUCAUGCUCUCAUUGAUUUUGAGAUUACUGUUACCUGGAUUCCUGUAGCAGCCACUUCCCAGUUUUGCUAAUUCAGUUACCUCUGCAAUCCAUUCUCUCCCUGCUUCCAGGCUGGUCUCCCUAAAUUUUAAAUCUUACACUCCACACGAUUCUCCCCGAUCUCUCCCCUUGGCUGAAAAUCUCUUAGUGAGUCCCCUUUGCCUGUUAAACAAACCCAAGCUGCUUAGCACUGGCAAAUAAGGCCCACAAGAUUUGCCCUUGCCUACCUUCUCAGGCACCUCUUUCCAGCCCCACAUGUUAACUUCCCAUUUCAGGUGAACUUGGGAUGCUCAGUUUCUCUGAGUUUCCAGGUUCUCUCAUUCCAGGCAUUGGCAUAUCCAGGAAUCUCCUCUGACCCACCCACUGGUUAGUCCUGUCCUGAGUUCCUACAGUCUCCUGGGCGUUUCUUUCUUCUGGCCCCUAUGUCACUGUGUUUUAUAUCUGAUUAGUAAUCUAUUUUAUUACAAGGGGCAUAUCCUGGGAAGAAUUCUACCCUGUAUUCAACCCCUUUCUCAUUUCUGGACACACUGCUUGACAGAAAAUACUGUACUCUGUGAAGGUUUGUUGGAUGAUGGAUGAGCUGUUGAAAGUUUCCUUCUAGAGCGUGCUUUUCCACAUUUGAUAAUAAGUUGUGAGUCAGUUGCUACCUUUUCAUUAAGUUGUCAGAAGGUGUUAACAUGAGUGUUUUUGUGGUUUGAAAUGUUGCUUUUUCAGUGAGUGGUAGCUAAAGGCAGAGGACUUUGACUGUUGCCAAGUUCCUGUGCCGAAAUGAACUGGGGAGAGUGGUACGAAGGCAACUGUGGUGUUACUUAACUCUAUAAAUUUCUGGGUGAAAAAUCUAUUAUAGCUUUUUCCAUUAGUCAUUAAAAUGAUUAGUCCACGUUCAACGUUCUGUAUCAUAAUUGUUUCCUGCUUUAGCUGGAUGACAUUGCUUGAGAUAAAUUAAACCUGUGGCAUUAUUAUGUCUCCUUUACAAAAUUAAUCCUCUUUUCUUCUUCCUAGCUAGGCUUUGUAUUGCCUUCCUACACAAUCUUAUAUGUCAGAGAUAUUAAAAAUAGUAUGCUGGAAUAUUACCUGCUUUGGGGUGUUUUUCUUAUUUCCCAUCGUUAUAAUUUAGAGAAGAAAGUCAUUUCAAAAGUAAACAUUUGGCUCAUGUUAUCACCUCUGUCUAAGUGCUUUACACCUGCGUGAUUUGUUCAUUCAUCCAAGGCUCUUUUAUCCACUCUUUCUGUAUGUUGCACAAGCAUUAACCUGACCUUGUAUUUGAGGAUACUUUUCAACUAUCCUUCUGUAGCAAAAAAAAAAAAAAAAAAUUAUUUUUGGAGGACUCUCCCUCUGAAAAUGAUUGGAACUGAUAGAUACACUGUGUAAGAAAUGGCUGCUUUUCUGAAGUCAUUCCAUUUUUUCUUGUUUACACCACAGCUUAAAUUAAUUUACCUGUCCUAAUGAAUACAUAAGAACAAGAACAAUACCUACAAUUUAGUUAACCACAGAGAGCCACAAAGACAAUUAUAUGUAUUCAACACAAUGUCAUAUAAUUUACAUGCAUUUAAGGGCUGAGAAGAAUGUUCAAGAAUGGCAUCCGUGGUUCGUAGGCAGGUGGUAUCCUUAUUGACUCAGCAAAGGUGCUCCUGCCUUCUCUGUUCUGCACAAGAAAGAAGUAAAUUUAAAAUUCCAUCCAUAAAUCAGCAGCUUGACUUUAAAUAAGAUUAGAAAAACAUAGUCAAUCCUUAUUUUUCGUAGUUUGUGUAUUUGAGAGUUUGCCUACUUGCUAAAAUUUAUUUGUAAACUUUAUUUUUAUUUAUUUAUUUAUUUAUUUAUUUUUUUGAGAUGGAGUCUUGCUCUCUCUCCCAGGCUGGAGUGCGGUGGCAUGAUCUCAGCUCACUGUAGCCUCCACCUCCUGGGUUCAAGUGAUUCUCUAGCUUCAGGGUUCAAGUGAUUCUCUAGCCUCAGCCUCCAGAGUAGUUGACACUACAGGCAUGCACCACCAUGCCUGUCUAAUUUUUUUGCAUUUUUAGUAAAGACAGGGUUUCACCAUGUUGGCCAGGCUGGUCUUGAAUUCCUGACGUCAGGUGAUCCACCUGCCUUGGCCUCCCAAAGUGCUGAAAUUACAGGUGUGAGCCACUGCACCCGGCCUAUUUGUAAACUUUAAAUCAAUACUCAUGGGGCAUUUGCAACAUGUCUGGAGUGUUGGAAAAUUUGAUUUGCCCGAAGCACAUAUUCACAGCUGAGGUCAAACAAGGUGACCUUCUGCCUUCUUAUUUCAACUGUCAUACUGUAAAUAAAUGUCCUUAUGGGGUUUACUUAAUGCUACAUAUUUUCAUAUUUUUGUGCUUUUUUUGGUGAUUUGCUGUUUAAAAUGGCCUGCAAGCAUAAUGCUGAAUUGCUAUCUAGUGUAAAAGCAAUAAGGCUGUGAUGUGCCUCAUGGAGAAAAUGUGAGCUAGACUUCCUUCAGGCCUGAGUUUAUAAUGCUGUUAGCAAAUUCAGUAUUAUUGAAUCAACUAUAUACAUAUAUAUGUACUUUAAAUGAUGUGUCUUUCCAUAGAAACACAUCGGAUAAGCUUAUGAUGAAAAUGUAACCAGAGACUCAAAGGAACCUAAUCCUGGAUUACCUCUAGAAACAAUGGUUCACUAUUGACUUAUUCAGUGUUUGCUAUGACUUUAGAAAAUCUAAUUAUCAUGAAUAAUGAGAAUUAACUGUAUAUGCAGCUGUCUUAGGUUAGAGUCUCCCAGAAGCAGACCCCAAGAGAGGAGUUUAUUUGGGGAAUGAUUCCAGGAAACCUUGGUGUAGGAGUAGAGAAUUAAAAGAGACAAGGAAAGGCAGGCAAUAAAGGGUAAAAUCAUUAAGCAAGUUACCUCUGUGGACAACUGACACUCAAUUCUACUAUAGUAGCCUGGGUGCCAGUGAAGAGCAUGUGCCUCAGGUGUCCUUCCUGAAGGGAGAGAAAGGUAAGAUAUUUCUAAGUAUUUGGGGAUUUUUUUUUUUUUUUUUUUUUUUAAUGAGACAGAAUCUCACACUGGCCCCAGGCUGGAGUGCAGUGGUGCGAUCUCAGCUCACCACAGCCUCCUCCUCCUGGGUUCAAGGCAUUCUCCUACCUCAGCCUCCCAAGUAGCUGGGACUACAGGCGCCCACCACCAUGCCUAGCUAAUUUUUUGUAUUUUUAGUAGAGACAGGGUUUCACUGUGUUAGCCAGGCUGGUCUCAAACUCCUAAUCUCAUGAUCCUCCCACCUUGGCCUCCCAAAGUGCUGGGAUUACAGGCAUGAGCCACUGUGUCCCGCUGUAUUUGGGGAUUUUUCGUGAUCUUUCUCUUAUCUCUAGUUUAAUUCCACUGUACUCCAAGAACAUUCUUUGUAUGAAUUCAAUUCUUUUACAUUUGUUAGUUUUAUAUCCAGUAGUAUGUGGCCUAUCGCGGUGAACAUUCCAUGUGUUGUCAAAAGAAUAUGCAUCCUAUCAUUCAUUGUCACUUACUGACUUUGUGUCUCCUUGUUCCAUAAAUUACUGAGAGAGGAAUGUUGAUGUCGCCAUAUGUAAUUGUAAAUGUGACUAUUUCUCUAUUCAGUUCAAUCAGUUUUUGCUUCAUGCAUUUUGGAGUUCUGUUGUUAGGUGGAUACAAACUGAUGACUGUAUGUCUUCUUGAUGAAUUGACCUUUAUUAUUUUGUACUGUCCCUUUUUAUCCCUGGUAAGUAAUUUUCCUUUAUAUGAAGUCUAUUUUUUAUAUUAAUGUAGACAACACAGCUUUCUUUUGAUUAGUGUUUGCAUGGUUUAUCUGUUUUUAUUCUUUGACUUUUAAUAUAUGUGUAUCAUUAUAUUUAAAGUGGGUUUCUUGUAGACAACAUAUAGUUGUUUGUUUUUUUAAAAAUCCAAUCUGACAAUCUUUGUUUUUUAAAUGAUAUAUUUAGACCAUUUACAUUUGAUGUGAUUAUUGAUAUAAUUAGAUGUAGACCUCCUAUUUUGUUAUUUUUCUGUUUGUUUUUGCUUUUCUCUUCUCCCUCCUUACCAUCUUCGAAUUAUUUUUAGUAUUCCAUUUUAACUUAUCCAUUAGGAUGAUUUGUUUGUUUGUUUGUUUGUUUUGUUUUGGCUUUAUGUCUGUAUUAGUCCAUUCUCACACUGCUAUAAAGAACUACCUGAACUGUAAUCCCAGCACUGUGGGAGGCUGAGGCAGGUGGAUCGCUUGAGCUCAGGAGUUUGAGACCAGCCUGGGCAAUGUGGUGAAAUCCCAUCUCUACAAAAAAUACAAAAAAAUUAGCUAGACUUGGUGGCACAUGCCUGUACUCCCAGCUACUCAGGAUACUGAGGUGGAGGAUUGCUUGGGCCCAGAAGGCAGAGGUUGAGCUGAGAUUGUGGCACUGCAUUCCAGCCUGGGAGACAGAGCAAGACUCUGUAAAACAAAACAAAACAAAACAACAACAAAAACCCCAAACCAACAAUCUACCUGGGACUGGGGAAUUUAUAAAGAAAAGAGGUUUACUUGACUCAUGGUUCUGCAGGUUGUAGAGGAAACAUGGCUGGGUAGGCCUCGGGAAACUUACAGUUAUGGCAGAAGGUUAAGGAGAAGUUGGCACAUCUUCACAUGGCAGAACAGGAGAGAGAGAAUGAAGGGGGAAGCACUACACACUUUUAAACAACCAGAUCUCAUAAGAACUAAUUCACUAUCACAAGAACAGCAAGGUAAACAUCUGCCCCCGUGAUCCAAUCACCUGCCACUAGGCCCCAUCUUCAACACAUGGGUAUUACAGUUCAACAUGAGAUUUGGGUGGGGACACAGAGCCAAACCAUAUCAAUCUCUUUAUAUAUUUUUCCAGUGGUUGUUCCAAAGAAUAUAUGUAUAUAAUAUUAUGAUAGUAUAUAUAUACACACAUAUACAUGUAUAUGUGUGUAUAUAUAUACACAUACUGUUAGUUUAUCUGGAUUUAAUAUUUAACAACUUCAAGUAAAAUGUUGAAGACUGGCAACCAUACAGGUUUCUUUACUCUCUCUCUUUAUGUUAUAGUUGUCGUCUGUAUUACAUUUGGAUACAUUGACACCCUCCCAAACAGUGUUACAAUUUUUGCAUUCAAACUUCAUACAUAGUUUCAAUAACUUAAAAACGAAAAGUAUUAUAUAACUAGGUAUUUAUCAUUUCUACGGUUUUUUAUUCAUUCCUGAAGUUUCAAGUUUUCUUCUAGGAACAUUUUUCUUCCACAUUAGCUUCCUUUAGGAAUUUUUCUUAGAUAUAUUGGCAAUGAAUUCUCUUUGUUUUUCUUCAUGUGAGAAUAUCCUUAUUUUACAUUCAUUCCUGAAGGAUAUUUCCACUGCAUAUAGAAUUCUGAGUUGACAUUUUUUUUUUCUUUCAGCACUUUAAGGAUUUUGCUCCCCUGCCUUUAUGGUUUCUGAUGAGGAAUCAUUAGCAUUCACUAGUAUCUGCAGUAUUUGAGUUGUUGCUCUCCUAUGCAAAAUAUAUCGUUUUGCUAUGGCUGCUUUCUAGAUAUUUAUCUUUGGUUUUUGGCAGUUUAAUUUUGAUGUGUGUUAGCAUGGUUUUCUUUGAGUUUAUUUUGUUUGGUUUUUCUAGACUUCUUGAAUCUAUGAAUUUAUGUCUUUUGCGAUAUUUGAGGAAUUUUUGUUCAUUGUUUUGUCAAAUAUUUUGUCUGUCCUGAUAUCUUUCAUCUCUUGUUCAGGGACUCCAGUGAUAUUGAGAUUGUCCCACAGGUUCCGUGGCUAUUUACCUACUUUUAAUCCUUUUUCUCUUUGUUUUACAGGUAGGUAAUUUUUACUGAUCUAUCUUUAAAUUCACUGACAUUAUUCUCUCUCAAUUCUGCUAUUGAACCCACUUAGUGCAUUUUUAAAUUUCAGGUAUUCUAUUUUUCAAUUCUCAAAUUUCUAUUUGGCUUUUUAAAAUAGUUUCUCUUUCUCUGCUGACUACUCAUGUCUUUCUUUUAAAUUUGGAAGUGCUUACAUUCACCUCAUAGAGGAAGGUCAUAAUGACUGGUUUAAAUUAUUGACCCCAUGCAUUUGGUCUCUUGCACUUGACCCCUUGGUUUUUUAUGCCCCCAGUGCACCUGCUUUGGGACUCCACUUGUCCAUUGGACUUCCUCACCCUCACUGCUGUGGCCUGCAAUUGACAAUAUCAUGUCAAAGUCAUGUCUUGAGUUUCCAGCUAGGCUAGGAUCCUUGCUGAUUCCUCUCCCCCAACAGUAUCUUUGAUCAUGCUAGGCAAGCUGAAUUAAAUUGUAGUAAGUGCAUUCAUUGAUAGAAAAAUUGCAGAAAAAUUGCGGGUUCAAUCCAGCCAAUGUAACACUUUAUUAUCAUAAUACAAUGUGAUUAUUCUCUUGAAUCAACUGUUUUCAUUCUAAAGCAUCUGUGGAAUUUCAUGGAGCAGAAAUGUAGUGCACAUUUCAUACCUCCAAAUGUUUUAAGCCAAAUUAUAAUUGCAGACAGCCCUUAUAAAUCUAAUUACAUGCCUUACAGUGACUCCACAGGUACACAGGCCAGAUGGAAUUAAUAUAUUACUGCUGCUAUUAAUCACGUGAGAUUAAGACAAAUAAUAUAACAUGAUUAUAUAAAAUGAUCUGCCAUUUAUCUGCUGUGAUCACCUACUUCAUUAAGGUAUUGGCAGCAUUUAGCAAGGCUGGUGUUGCAGUCUGUUUUUUUGCUAUAAAAGAAUACAUGUAGCUGGUAGUUUAUAAAGAAAAGAGGUUUAUUUGGCUUAUCGUUCUGCAGGCUAUACAAGAAGAAGCAUGGCACCAGCAUCUGCUUCUGGUGAGCAGCUCAGGCUGCUUCCAUUCCUGGUGGAAGGGAAAGGGGAGCUGACUUGUGCAGAGAUCACUUCCAAGAGGGAAAUCAAGAGAGAGAGGUAGGAGGUGCCAGGCUCUUUUUAACGUCCAGUUAUCUUGGGAGCUAAUAGAGUAAGAACUCACUGAUACCUACUACCCCCAUCCUCCAUCUCUUCGUGAAGAGUCUGCCCCCAUGAUCCAUACACCUCCCAUUAGGCCCCCCCUUUAACACUGAGGAUCACAUUUCAACCUGAGAUUUGGAGGGGCCAAACAAACCAUAUCCAAACUAUAGAAGUGGCAAAUUGACAACAUCUACUUAUUCGUUCAAAAGAAAUAGGGUGAAAACAUGAGAUGAUCCAUGGAUGUUUCAGCUUUUCUGUGACUGACCCUGCAUACUGAAAAGCAAUAAAUUCCUUGCUAACUUAAAUAAAGUAAUGGCAGAUAUGCCUAAGGCCACAAAUCUAUUUAAUGUAGUUGGAGUUAAUUUGAUUAAUUGUGGAUUUCUAGGCAGUAAUCUCUUAAACUUUGUACUCAGCUUUAUUAACUUUCAGAAGCUAAGAUGAACUUUUCUGUUGCUGUCAUACUUUCAGAAACUCAUAUUGAGUACCAAUUGCUGAUCUCAAACCCAUUUUAAAAUAUUCCAUUGCAUUCUGGGUAAUUUCAUUUCUUGUCAUUAAUUUCACAUUGAAAUUUUUGGCUGUUGAUUGCUGUGAUAAAACCUUUCCCCAUGAAACCUUCCUAGAAAAAUUUUUACUUUAUUUCAUAAGUUAUCAAUGCUCAGAAUUGAAAUUCAUUCUUUUAUGUCUCCAAGAGGUGCUUAUUGAGUGGUUACUAUGUGCUAGGCCUGUCUUGGGCACUAAGGAGAUGGGGGUGAACGAGAUACAUAAAUGCUUUGCUUCUGUGGAGUUCACAUUCCAGUGGAGGAAGGCAAAAGUAAUAGGUGGACAAAUGCAUAAAAUAAUUUCAGGUAUUAAAUAUUAUAUAGAAAAUGGCCAGCUCAUUUAAAACCUUAUGGGUGUGUUCAGAGUUUAGAUUUCAUUCUAAGAACAAAGAAGUUACUGGGAAUUUAAAGUGGAAAGUGUGAGCAGAUUCACUAUACACUGGUUAUCAACUUAUCACCCACCCGCACAUCAGGUUACAUGAAGUGGGUUUAUUACUCACAGAAACGUAGCCAGGAACAACGGAAGCCUAAGGUCCAUUGUAAGCUGGUCCCUCAAGGCUCAGGAAAGCUGCCCUGGGCAGAUGGAGUCUUGUCUGUACAUCCUCUUGCACUGCAGGUGAGGGAUCCCAGAAAGCAACCCACUCUAUGUUUUACACUCCGGGGUCCUGGGGGGUCCCCUGGGCCAAAGCACCGAAGGACAUCCUGUUUCUGGAGGGAAAUGGAAUAAAGCCCAGGCUGUUGUGACCAGCCUCUGCCUAUCUCAGGACACUGCAUUCCCAGCACAUUUUAUACUUAUUCUUGAAAACUACAAAUGAGAAAGGGAGAAGAACUGGGUUGAUUCAAGGUCACCUGGAUAACUGUCUGCAGAAAGAUGUCUUUAAAAGUCCAAAAUGGCUGCAAUAUUGUAAAAUGGAUUAAGGCAAGAAAGAGUAAUUAAAGGUGAUAAAUGUUCAGGUAGAAGGUGAACUUGAAUCAAGGUGGGAGGAGUGAAGAUGAAGAGAAAGAAGGGUUCUCUGUAAACUGUAGAAUAUGCUUUUAGAUCACUAGAAAUACUGCCUACACACAAUGAUAUAUACUUUCUUUUUCUUACUAUAAAUAUAACUAUUAUUUGUUUCAUAUAUUUUUGUGUUGGCUACAAUUUCCAAAAUAUAAAUUAGUAAUGGUUAUAGAGGAUAUCCUCUAGGGUUUUAAAUGUGAUGUUGGUUUUUGGUUUGGGAGAGAGAGCCUUUUCAUAUUAAUGCAUUGUUACUCUGGUUCUAAUUUUUGAUCAGUUUUCAACAGGAAUGGAUGAUGGAUUUUAUUGAAUACUUUCUUGGUGUUAAUGAAAAAAUUCUAUUUUUUACUGAUGGCUUGCAUAAAACUAAUAUAUUUCUCAAUAUUAAACCAUUCUAUUCCUGUUUCUAUAAAUUUGACUUUUUUAGGUAUCUUAUAUAAGUAGAAUCAUACAGCAUUUGUCUUUUUGUGACUGGCUUAUUUCACUUAGCAUGUCUUCAAGGUUCAUUUAUAUCAUAGUAUGUGUCGGAAUUUCAAUCCUUCUUAAGGCUAGGUAAUGUUUGGUUAUAUAUACAUAUAUAUAUAUAUAUGUAAAUAUAUACACACCACAUUUUGUUUAUCUGUUCAUCUGCUGAUGGACACUUGGGUUGCUUCCACAUUUUGACUAGUGUGAAAAAUGCUGCUAUGAAUGUAGGUGUACAACUCUGACUCCUAGUUUUCAAUUUUGGGAGGUAUAUACUCAAAAGUGGAGUUGCUGAAUUAUAUGGUAACUCUAUUUUUAAUUUUUUGAAGACCUGCCAUAAUAUUUUCCUUAGUUGCUACACCAUUCCUACCAACAGUGCACAAAAGGUCUAAUUUCUCCACAAACUUGCCAAUCGUUAUUUUUAUUUAUUUAUUUAUUUGAGAUGGAGUCUCGCUCUGUCACCCAGGCUGGAGUGCAGUGGCAUGAUCUCAGCUCACUGCAAUCUCCGCCUCCCUAGUUCAAGCGAUUCUCCUGCCUCAGCCUCCCAAGUAGCUGGGACUACAGGCGUGUGCUACCACGCCCGGCUAAUUUUUUGUAUUUUUAGUAGACAUUGGGUUUUCCCAUGUUAGCCAGGAUGGUCUCGAUCUCCUGACCUCGUGAUUCGCCCAUCUUGGCCUCCCAGAGUACUGGGAUUACAGGCCUGAGUCACUGUGCCCGGCAAUCCAAUACUUUUUUUUUUAAUUAUUUUUUAUUUUUCUGGGUGCAUAGUAGGUGUAUAUAUUUAUGGGGUAUAUGAGACAUUUUGAUACAGGCAUGCAAAGUGAAAUAAUCACAUCAUGGGGAAUGGGGUAUUCAGCCCUUCAAGCAUUUACCCUUUAUGCUAUAAACAAUCCAGUUAUACCCCUAGUUAUUUUAAAAUGUACAGUUAAGUGAUUGUUGACUAUAGUCACUCUGUUGUGCUGUCAAUAGUAGGUCUUAUUCAUUCUUUCUAACUACUUUUUUUUUGUACCCAGUAACCAUCCCCACCUCCCUGUCAGCCCCCUACUACCCUUCCCAGCCUCUGGUAACCAUCCUUCUACUCUCUAUAUCUAUGAGUUCAGUUGUUUUGAUUUUUAGCUCCCACAAAUAAGUGAGAACAUGCGGUGUUUGUCUUUCUGUGCAUGGCUUAUUUUACCUAACAUAAUGAUCUCCAUUUUAUUAAAAAUGAGCUCACUGUAGAUGAGUGGAUUUGUUUCUGGGGUCUCUAUUCUGUUCCAUUGGUCUGUGUCUCUGUUUUUGUGUCAGUACUGUGCUGUUUUGGUUACUAUAGCUCUGUAGUAUAAUUUAAGGUCAGGUAAUGUGAUUCCUCCAGUUUUGUUCUUUUUUCUCAGCAUAGCUUUGGCUAUUCUUUUUUCUCAGGAUAACUUUGGCUUUUGUGGUUCCAUAUACAUUUUAGGAUUGUUUUUUCUAUUUCUGUAAAGAAUGUUAUUGGUAUUUUGAUAGGCAUUACAUGGGAUCCGUAGAUGGCUUUGGUAGUAUGGACAUUUUAACAAUAUUGAUUCUUCCAGUCCAUGAACAUGGAAUAUCUUGUCAUUUUUUGGUGCCUUUUUCAGUUUCUUUCAUCAGUGUUUUAUGAUUUUUAUUGUAGAGAUCUUUUACUUCUUUUGUUAAUUCCUAGGUAUUUGCUUUUAUUUGUGGCUAUUGUAAAUGGCAUUACUUUUAAAAUUUUCACUUUGUUCAUAGUGGGGAUAUAGAUAUGGUACUGAUUUUUGUAUGUCGAUUUUAUAUCCUGCAACUUUGUUGAAUUUGUUUAUCAGUUCUAAUAGUUUUUUUGUGUGUGUAGUCUUUAGGAUUUUCCAAAUGCAAAAUCAUAUCACCUGCAAACAUGGAUAAUUUGACUUCUUCCAUUCCAGUUUGCACGCCUCUUCUUUCUCUUGUCUGAUUGGUCUAACUAGGACUUCCAGUACUAUGUCGAAUAACAGUGAUGAAAGUGGGCAUCCUUGUCAUGUUCCAGAUCUUAGAGGAAAGGCUUUUAUUUUUUCUCUCAUUCAGAAUGACACUAGCCAUGUGUGUGACAUAUGUGACUUUUAUUAUGUUGAGGUAUGUUCCUUCUAUACCCAGUUUUUGGAGGUUUUUUUUUUUAUCACGAAGGGAUAUUGAAUUUUAUCAAAUAUUUUUUCAGCAUCAAUUGGAGUGAUUAUUGUUUUUAUCUUUCACUCUGUUGAUAUGAUGUAUCACAUUGAUUUGCAUAUGUUGGACCAUUUUUGCAUCCCAGGGAUAAAUCUUACUUGGUCAUGGUGAAUGAUAUUUCUAAUGUAUUGUUGAAUUUCGUUUGUAGUAUUUUUUUUGAGAAUUUUUGCAUCAAUACUAAUCAGAGCUAUUGGCCUGUAGUUUUCUUUUUUCUGAUGUGUCUUUGUCUGGUUUUGGUAUCAGGGCAAUACUGGCUUCAAAGAAUGAGUUUGGAAGUAUUCCCUGCUCCUCUAUUUUUGGAAGAGUUUGAGUAAGAUUGGUCUUAGUUCUUUAAAUAUUUGGUAGAAUUCAGCAGUGAAGCCAUGGGUUCCAGGCUUUUCUUGACUGGAAGACUUUUUAUUAUGGCUUCAAUCUUGUUACUUAUUAUUGGUCUGUUCAUGUUUUAUACUUCUUCCUGGUUCAAUCUUGGUAGGUUGCAUGUGUCUAGGAGUUUGUCCAUUUCUUCUAGGCUUUCCAAUUUACUGGCAUACAGUUGCUCACAGUAGCUACUAAUGAUCCUUUGAAUUUCUGCAGUAUCAUUUGUAUUAUCUCCUUUUUCAUUUCUGAUUUUAUUAAUUUGCAUCUUCUCUCUUUUUUCUUACUCUGGCUAAAGGUUUGUCAAUUUUGUUUAACUUUUUAAAAACCCAACUUUUUGUUUCAUUGCUCUUUUGUACUGUUUUCUUUAUUUCUACUCUGAUCUUUAUUACUUCUUUUCUACUAAUUUUGGAUUUGGUUUGCUCUUGAUUUUCUAAUUCUUCAAGAUGUAUCAUUAGAUUAUUUGAAGUUUUUCCUCUUUUUUGAUGUAGACACUUAUGUCCAUAUACUGCCCUCUUAAUACUGCUCUCGCUGUAUCCAGUAGGUUUUGGUAUGUUGUGUUUCCAUUAUCAUUCAGGAGCAUAUUGUUGCAUUUCCAUGUUUUUGUAUGGUUUCCAAAAUUCCUCUUGUUAUUAAUUUCCAGUUUUUUCAUUCAUGGUCAGAUAAGAUGCUUGAUAUGAUUUCAAUUUUUUGAAUGUUUUAAAACUUGUUUUGUGACCUAACAUAUGGUCUAUCCUUGAAAAUGAUCUAUGUGCUGAGAAAAAGAAUGUAUAUUCUGCAGCUGUUUGAUAAAAUGUUUUGUAAAUAUCUAUUAGAUCCAUUUGGUCUAUAGUGCAGAUGAAGUUUGAUGUUUUUCUUUUUCUUUUCUUUCUUCCUUUUUUUUUUUUUUUUUAAGAUGGCGUUUCACUCUUGUUGCCCAGGCUGGAGUGCAAUGGCAUGAUCUUGGCUCAUUGCAACCUCCGCCUCAUGGGUUCAAGCGAUUCUCCUGCCUCAGCCUCCCAAGUAGCUGAGAUUACAGGUGCCCACCACCAUGCUAGAGAAAUAGUUGAAAACUGUAUGGUAGUAAAAGACAUUAACUUAUGUAUUGCAGUCUAUGUCAGAUCGUGUAGAUUAGACAAAAAAUUAGUUCCUUUGCAGACCUCUCCCUAAAGCCAUCACAAUGCCAACUCCCCAGAGCCAACCAUUUUCAACACUUUCAGUUAUUUUUAAAUGAUAAAAAUUCAAAUGCAGUGAUUCUAGAAGUAUGGUCCAGUGGUUUCUGGAAGUCUCCAAAAUCUUUUAGUUAGGAUUCCUUAAAGGGAGAUCAAAGUUGAGGUAAAAACUAGAUACUGUUUAGACCAUUUACAUUUAAUGUAAUUAUAUGUUUGAAUUUAGGUCUUCCAUUUUAUUAUUUGUGUUUUCUUCCUGUCUGUCUUCUCUUUCCUGCCUUUUGUAUUAUUUGAACUUUCUUUUUUUUUUUUUUUUUUUUUAGCAUUCCAUCUGAAUUUAUUUUGAUUUUAACCAUAUCUUUUCAUAUAAAAUUUUAGUGGUUGCUCUAGGGAUUUAAAAAAAUACAAACUUAACACUUUAAUGGCAAUUUAUAAUCAGCAUUUUACCACUUUAAUUGGAAUGUGUAAAACUUACCAGUAGGUUUCCUUUCUCGUUUAUGUAUUACAUCUGCACACAUUGAAAACUCCAUCAGACAAUGUUAUACCCUGUGCUUUCAAACAUCAGAUAUGUUUUAAAGUACUCAAAAAGAGAAGAACAGUCUAUUAUAUUUACCCAGAUACUUGCCAUUUCUGUUGUUCCCUUUUAUUACUGAAGUUCUGAGAUUUCUUCUUGGAUCAUUUCCUUUCAGCCUGAAGAACUUGUUUAGCAAAUCUCUUAAGUAGGUACACUGGUCAGAAUUCUCUUAGUUUUCCUUCAUCUAAGAAUGUAUUUAUUUCACAGAAUUCUCAGUUUAUAGUUCCUUCCCUCCUUCCUUCCUUCCUUCUCUCCUUUAAAAUGUUGUUCUACUUCCUUCUGGUCUCCGCAGUUUCUGAUGAAAAAUCUAUAGUUAUUCAAAUUGAAAAUCCUCUAUUGACAAUGCACUGUUUUUCUGUGGCUGCUUUAAAACUUUUUUCAUUCUUUUUAUUUUUCAACAAUUUCAUUGUGAUGCAUCUAUGCAUAAUUUUAUUUGUAUUUAUCCUUUUAAAAGUUCACUCAGCUUUUUAAAUCUGUAGGUUAUAUCCUUUGCCAAACUUGGGAAGUCUUCGGCCAUUGUUUUUUCAGACUUUUUUUCAGCACUGCACUCUUUCUCUUGUCCUCUAAAACUCCAGAGACACAAACAUUAGAACUUUUAUUAUUGUCUUAUAUGUACCUGAAGCUCUACUAGAUUUUUUUCAACCUUUUUUCCCUCUUUUUUUGAUGUAUCUUCAAGUUCACUGUUUCCUCUGUCACAUCCUUUGUGGUACUGAACCCAGCUAAUGUGUUUGUUUUUUUUUAAUAUUGGUUAUUGUGCUUUCAACUCUAAAAUUUCUGAUUUUUGUCCUGUAUAUCUUCUAUUUCUUUAAUGAUACCUUGUAUUUUUGCUUUUUCUUCAAGAGUGUUCAAGAUUGCUCAUACAAGCAUUUUAAAAGCUUUGUCAGAUACUUCCAACAUUGGUGUCAUCAUGGCACUGGCAUCUGUUGAUUGACUUUUCCCAUACAUGUUGAGGUUUUCAUGGUUCUUUAUAUGCUGAAUACUAUUUGAGUGUACCCUGAACAUUUUGAUUAUUAUAUAUAAGACUUCAGGUCUUGUUUAAAUCCUAUGGAAGAUGUUGACAUUUUUGUUUUGGCGGGCACUUGACCUGGUUAAGUUCAGGCCUCACAUUUCAACCCACCUUCUCUGAGCUGCAAUUCCAAUGUUAGUUCAAUUUUCAAAGCCUUUCAAUGCUACUCAGAUCAUUCCCAAUUGGGUGCCCCCCGUGAGUGCUCCUUACCUAAAAGGUCAGACUGGAACCUGGGGAGACCUGUCUCUUAAGCUCAGUCCUCAAGGUCUUUUGAAUGCCAAUUAGGAUCAGAUUUAGACAUGCUCAGGCCAGGGGUUAGCCAGGAGUUCAUAAACCUCUUUAUGGAGUUCCUUUCCCAGACACUCUUAUUUUAUUUAUUUAUUUAUUUAUUUAUUUAUUUUUACUUCUCUGGGGAUAAUGCUGUAUGCUUUCCCAAACUCUUCUCUCUCUGCUCUCUCCUUAGCACCUCUGGUUCCCUGAGGCUUUAUUUUAUGGUUGUCCAGCCAGUAACUACCCACUUCUGUGACUGCCUUACAGCAGUGCUGGGAGAGAGAGGGUGAGAGAGAGAGAGAGGAAGACAGAGAGGCAACAGUGUUUGUGGCACCUUCUUGGAGCUGCGGUUCUUCUGAACUGAGAGCAAGGUUUCUCUCCCUCAGAGCUGUAGCUCCUGCAGAUUCCUGUUGCUGGCCUCUUUUGCUGCUGCACCGAGCCUGCUGUGGGCUUGCCUGAGGGUUGGGGCACCAGAGAGUGGAGAAGAAGGAGAGAAAAAAAAUACUGAGGGAUUUCCCACACACUCUCUUUCCCUUAAAAGACUAGAGCUACUACCAUGCCAUAAUUAGCUAAAACUUCCACUUUCUGGAAGAACUGUCAUUUUCUUACAGCUAUUCACUUUCUUUCAACGUUCGUCACCAACAUAAACACUAGACUCUCUUUGGGUGCUGUUUUCAUUAAAGAAGUGAAACUUUUAUCACUUCAUGAUGGUCGCUGAGUAUGCUAAGGGAAGCAGAGAAAAACAGGGCUGCGUCUCCCUGUGGAGACUGGAGGUGGGCAGGCCCAUCGAUUGGCCAAGCGGCUCAGCGUAGCAUCUGCUACUAAAAUCGGGCCCCAGAAAAGUUACCCAUUGUGCCAUAAUCAUGUAGGCCUCUGGAAAUCCUUGAGGAAACUCCAAAUAGUGAAUGUUAAAUUAAAAAAUGACAAAGUUCCAUUUGAUUGUUAUCAUUCUUGAGAGGUAAUUUCACUAUGAUCUGUCAGGAAACAUCUGUAAGAGAUUCAGCCAUAAUGUGUUAAGGAGAAGGUUAGAAAAUCUAGGGAAAAGCUCCUAUCAUUUUAUAGUUUCUUUGGGGAUUGAAAUAUAUCUACUGAAGCAGGCUUCAAACUAGUGUGUCUAGAAAUGGGAUAUCUUCACCUGGGAUGGGGUAGUUGCCCUUGAGCCACAUGACCCAGGCAUAAUUACAGAUUUUCAGGAGUGGAAGAGACUUGAGAUGCUAUCUGACCAAACCUUCUGUUUUUACAGACGAAGAAACUAAAGCCAACAUGUGAAGUAAGAACCUGUCAAGGGUCAUAUUAGGUCACAUCAGGUCAUAUCCUAACAUGUGUUGGCAUCCUUUCCCCCUGUGCUGUCUGAUAUGCCUGGGAGACGCCCUCCGUCCUGCUUCCCACUAGGGCUACACUGGUAUGUGAGUCCUUUGGGGGCAAAAUCACCCAUUUUGGGAAUUUUGGAAGCAGAACAAAAGUGGCAGUGUUCUGAUGGUUCUAGUUAAAGAUGGAGAGGGAUGUGGGUCUAUUGCAGACAUAAAGAACUCUCUUCUGAAUGGGAGGGGCAGCCCAAGACCCUGGAAUUACAAUGUGAUGGGACAGUUCAAGUCAAGUCUUUGUUUUGGCAGGUCAAACGGUGUAAACUUUGCUGGAAGGAACCUUACUCAGAGGGCCAAUCACCUGCUUCUCUAGAGUUCUCAAGCUCUCCUGUGAGCACCAGGUUGAGCUGCAGAAAGCCAGAACCAGCUCAGAAACUGAGAAAUGGACAUGAAGAUGCCCAGGUCUGCAGAUGGUUUCCAUUCUGAAAAGUGAUAGUCCCAAGGGGGACUGGCAUGCAGUCAUUCAUUCAACAAUUGUGCUCCUACUCUGUGAAGUAUUGGGGAUACAGUGCUGAGCACAGACAGACCUAGUCUCUGUCCUUUGCACCUUUCAGUGAAGGAUAGGAGGUAGACAUUGAUGCAACAAGCACCCGAGUAAAUGUAAGACCAUGCAGUGAUAAAGGCCGUGGAGGAAGGGCCCAUGCAGGGGCAGAAAACAGAGGAAGGGGCUGGUGGAGCAGCUCCUCUAGCUCAAGGCUGAGUGGUAUAAACUGUAGCUACUGCAUGAUCUGAACGUGUCUUAAGGAGGGUAUCCCCAAAGCGGGCUCAUUGGGAGUUACUGUGGAGCGCUAGUUUAUUGUAAUUGCCAUAUGUUUAUAAGUAAUGGAAUCCUAGAAUUAGAAGGAACUUCGGUCACCUUUUAAUUUAAUAUUUAUCUUUCUCAAUCCAGGAAACAUCUCUACAGCAUCCCUAACUGGGGGUUGAUCCAUUCAUUUCCAGACACAGAGAACAGAGUCACAUUCUGCUGUUUCCAUAUGUACCAUUUUAGUAAGACUUCUUGGGGCACAAGGCAGGAAGUUGGGGACAAUAUAUUUGUCUGCACCAAGGCAGCCUGAGAAGAGAGAAGUGAAUACUCCUGGGGUUAUUCUAUAUUAUUCACUUAAUAUUCUAAGUGAGUCCUCUAGGGGUACCUGAGACAUGGAGUAUGAAAGUACACAUUCACAAAAGUACCAGCUUUAAAACUAGAUUAUCUCUACUAUUCAAAAACACCAAGGAAAGGCCACACAAUGGAGACAAAGUGCAUCUGAGAUCUAGCAAAUUUCCCUGUUGGCCACAUACUGAUAAUGAUGUAUUAAAAUCAAUUCUAUACUGUGGGGUACUUAUUUGACAUUAAUAGGUACCAUGGUGGUUUAACAUAGUUGCUGCCCAGAGAAAACGCCGCACACUCACCUACACUAAAAUGAAGUCUGAGUCAGCUGCCUCCCCUCCGCCAUCCCUUCCAAAGCCAAUGGUUGAAAGUCACAGAAGUCCCUCUGCUGCCACCUAGUGACGACAAUGUGAAUACAACUACACAGCCUCCUGGGAAAGAAGUUUUGAACCACGUUUGCUUCUAAAGGAAGCCUGUAAUUACCUCUGAGUGCUCUAUUUUGGCUACAAUUUAAAAACAUAUAUAUUUUAAAACUCUAUAAACUCUUAUGCAUAUCCCUUUUUAAGAAUCUGACCUGUAAUGGAUGUAGCCUCACUUUCAAGAACCUAAAAGCUAUGCCCCCAAUUCAGGGAGUAGAACAGACAGGCUUAAGAACAGUGCCUAAAAAUGCCACUAAAUUUAUCUUUAAAAUGCCUGUGGUUCCUUAGCACUUGAAUUCCGUUAUGCCCCUGGGUAUAGUCACCUGGAUGUUAGGGGCUGUCAAAAUUCAGCCCUCAGUUGGUGAUCAGUAGGUUUUCCCUUUAAGUGGUUUCUGAAAGGAUUUUUUUUAAAAAUCUUGAAAUUCUCAUGUCUGGAUGAUGUUUCCAGUUUUGUGGAAGAAUAAAAGAAAAGGGACAUGAAAUUCUGGCUCCCUGGGGGCAGUGGCUGUGUCUUAUUAAUCUCUGUGCCCAUUGUACCAACACCGGUCAGUCACAGCAUGUACUCAACCAAUGCUGAUGAAUGCAGAGGGGCGAGGGGCUGGCACGCUCUUGACCCCUUAUAGGGGCUGCGUCGAUGGCCAGGGUUCAAUGGGAACUUUCUGGUACAGUCUUGCUCUGCCAAUCUUUCAAAUUAAGUGCAGCACAAUUGGAAGCCUCACAUUCUCAUAGACGGGUUGAGGAGGGCAUUAGGGGCAGAAAGGCUCACAUAAGGCCUGAGCGUGAGGUUUCCUGCCCAGCACUGCUGUGCCAUUGCAGCCCACCUUCUUCUCACCUUUCCUUCCACACCACGGCGCGGCAGGUGCAGAAACCGUGCUGGGAUUGAGGCCCUAGAGGCUGACUACAGGUCUUGGGGGCAAAACAUCUGGACACACAGCUGAAGAUGAGCCAAGUAUAUUAGUCAGGGUUCUCUAGAGAAACAGAACCAACAAGAUAGAGAGAUGCAGAGAGACAGAGGGACAGACAGACAGAUUUAAGUAACUGACCCAUAAAAUCUUGGAGGCUUGGCAAGUCCAAAAUCUGCAAGAUGGAAGUGGGCUGGCACAUUGGAGACUCAAGGAAGAGUUGCACGUUGAGUUCAAAGGCCGGCUGCUGGCAGAAUUCCUUUCUGCUCAGGUGAAGUCGGUCUCUGUUCUAUUAAGACCUUCAACUGAUUGGAUGAGGUCCACCCAUAUUAUGAAGGGUCAUUUGCUUUACUCAACAUCUACUCAUCUAAAUAUUAAUCUCAUUGAAAAAAAACCCCAGAAACAUCCAGAAUAGCAUUUGACCAAAUGUUUGGACAAUGCAGCCUAGCCACAUUAACACACAAAAUUAACUGUCACAGCAAGACACCAGGGAAGCAUUGGAAGAUGUUAGCGGCUGUCAUUGAAAUGGGUGCCGUCAGGUGGACGGCAGCCAUCCAUCGGGCAAGAGCGGGGCAGCUGGAAGGGCCCUCCCCUCCCGUUUGCUUUCUGCUCUUCACAGCUCACGGAUAGAGGAAUUUUCUCAGCACAUUUCCCAGGAGGAGUUUGGCACCACCAUUUCUUGAAAACAGAUGUCUGCAGGGAUGUGUGUGUGCCUGUGAAUAUGAAGUCCAGAGCCUGGGACUGAGAACAGCAAGGGGAACAGGUGGCCACAGGGGAGUUGCCAGAUUGCUGACUUAAGAUGUGCUCCCAGGGCUGCACUGGUGUCGGUCGUGAGAGCGAUCACGGUUUGUGCAACGUCUGAACUUUCUAUCAACUUAUGGUUUAAUCAAUUUGCUGUUUACUCCAGCUAUUUGCAACCUCUCCUCAGUUACUUGGUGUUCAGCAGUGUAAUAUAUCUUCAUGUGUGAAUAUAAAUAUACUAUUUAGUGGAAACUAAAAGGAAUUGUGGAGGAAGAAUUUUUUUGGAUAAUUUUAUGUUUUCAUAAUGUAAAAAUUAAAGAUAUUUGAAGAGUUGAGUAUGUCAGUUUUGGGGAUGCAAGAGAAUGACUUCGGGACUACCAUAAUAUUUAAAAUCAUCACUACUCUUUCUUUCCACCUAAGUCUCAUAGCAAAAGAGGAAAUUUACUUCAGUCUCUUUCUGUAGCAGAACAUUAUCGUGCUGUAUUCCUGUGUUCACUUAUCUGCGCUGGAUUGUGAGUCCUUACAGAGAGAAAUUGUUAUGUGCUAUGUUCCCAACACCUGCACAUUAUAGGUGGUCACUAAGUGCUUGAUGAAUAAAUGAAUGAGGGAAUAAUAUUGUUUAUUAUUUUUUGCUGUUAUUUAUAAUUGGGAGUGGGUAGGAUUUGGAUUAUGAAGACUCUGGGAAGCCUCAUAAGAACCUCAGACUCACUGGGCACGGUGGCUCACACCUGUAAUCCCAGCACUUUGGGAGGCCGAGGCAGGCGGAUCACGAGGUCGGGAGAUCGAGACCAUCCUGGCUAACACGGUGAAACCCGGUCUCCACUAAAAAUACAAAAAACUAGCCAGGUGUGGUGGCGGGCGCCUGUAGUCCCAGCUACUCCAGAGGCUGAGGCAGGAGAAUGGCCGUGAACCCAGGAGGCGGAGGUUGCAAUGAGCCGAGAUCGCACCACUGCACUCCAGCCUGGGCGACAGAGCAAGACUCCAUCUCAAAAAGAAAAACCUCAGACCAGACUCAACGUGUCCAAAAAAGAGCUCACCUUGUACCCCUAGAUCCUGAAGCGGCUUCCAGUAGCUCAACCUCCUCCCAUCCAGUUCCAUCUCUGCCAGGGAUCUUUUAAAAAUGCAAAUCUCAUUAUGUCUCUUUCCUGCCUCAAACCUCCCAGUGGUUCUCCAGUCUGUCAGGAGAGGGUAUAGACUGUGGCCUGGCCCGGGAAGUUCUUUGAGGUCAACCCCUGCCUACUCAUCUUGCUAACUCUUAUGGCUCUCUGACACUAGGCUUUUGCUCCAAUCAUAUAAGCAACUGUAUUUCCAUAAAAUUGCAAUGUUCUUCCCUACCUCCUCACUUAACUAAUUUUCACUUUACUGAUCAUUUCUUAUUUUACUAUCAGCGUCUCUUUCUCCUUAUUCUUCAGGGAACAUUUCUCUCCACCAUCCUGUGCCACACUGUGGGGGUGUCAGUAACACCCUCUGUCCUCUCCUGGCCAAAGGAAAGGGGUGUCAUUCAGCCCAGGCCCCUGGAUCCUCAUCUUGGGAUUUGGAAAUGUGACCGAAGUGACAUAAAAAAAAGACAUGAAGUGCGAGGAGCUCAUUCAGUCAGCUCUGCAGCUCCAGCUGGGUUACCUGUGAGUCCUUGCUAGCCAGAUCCCUUGAUUUGCCGUGACUCCUGCCUUUGCCAAGUCUGUCUUCAUAGAUUCUUUCAAAUGUGGUUCCAUCUUGCCUGAGUUCGUCAGAGCCAGAUUCUGUGCUGUAAUAAAAAACCCCAAAUCAACUCACCUCUCACCCUCCACAAUGCAGCUUCUGGAAGAUUCCAGAUGCCCCAGCCUGACUGAGAAUUCUCUCUCCUCUGCUCUCAAAGUCCCUUUGGGUGCUUCUACCAAAGCACUGACAGCGUGAUUCUGAUUUGAUCGCUGGUGUCUGAGAGCUGUGAACGUCUUGAUGGUUUUGGCGCCCAGCACCAUUCCUGCCUCAUAAUUGGCACGUGAUAAAGGCUUGUCGCAUUCCCUCAUUCAAAAUAAACAUAGAAGACAAUCCAGAGAUUGCAGCUUCACAGAAAUCACAGAAGGAAAUUUAUAUUUAUAGAGACGGCAUAUAAAAUUUUAAAACAAUUUUAAUGAAAAUCUUGAAAAUAGACAUUCUCUUCUUUAAACAACAUAAACUGAACAAACUCAGUCUGUUUUGGUGCCUCUGUGAGUACCCUCGGUUGCUCUGGGCUGCUGUGCGAUGCUGACCGGGACUUCCUCAGAGGCCUCAUCUUCUGCAUCCAGUGGACUUGCAAGCCACUUUACACUUCCUGGGUGAUAAGGUUUGGAUUUGUGUCCCCGCCCAAAUCUCACGUGGAAUGUCAUUCCUAAUGUUGGAAGAGGGGCCUGGUGGGAGGUGAUUGGAUCAUGGGGGCAGAAUUCCCUCUUGCAGUUCUCUUGGUAGUGAGUUCUCACAAGAUCUGGUUGUUUAAAAGUAUGUAGCACCUCCUGCUUUCGCUGUCUUCCUCCUGCUCCCGCCAUGUAAGACGUGGCCUCCUUUCCCUUCGCCUUCCGCCAUGAUUGAAAGUCUUCAGAGGCCUCCCCAGCCAUGCUUCAUGUACAGCCUGUGGAACUGUGAGCCAAUUAAACCUCUUUUCUUCAUAAAUCACCCAGGCUCGGGUAUGUCUUUACAGCAAUGUGAGAACGGACUCAUACUGUGGGUCUGUAGCCUCUUUCCAUGGUAUUAUCUCAUAUUUUUCAAUGUUUCUUUGAUGCAUGUUUUAAGAAAUGUUAAUUGAAAGCAUGUCAUGGGACAGGCACUGGAUUACGUCUUAGAAAUGCCAAGAUGCACAGCCACAGUUGCUUUCUCCAGGACGGCACAGGUGAGGAGGGGGAUCAAAAAUAAAGGCUAGAGAUAGGUGCCUGUGCUGGGUGCUUGGGGCAUAUAGGUAGGGUACCUGAUCCACUGGGGUCAGAGAAAGUUUUCUGGAGGUGUUACCUGAGAAGAGCCUUGGGGGAAAUGGGCAUUAUCCAGGUGAAGAAGGAUUUUCUGAAGGUUCUGGACAGCUGUGUUACGAGACACCCAGCUUCUCUGCUUCUCCUGGGAACACGCGUUGUGCUUCUACUCCAUGGCGCUCCUGGGAGCUGCCGCAUCCAUGGCAUGCUCUCCCCUGCCCCCACAGCUAACUGGUGUUAUGGGUGGGCUAAGUGGCCAAAAGUGAGCGUUCAGGUUGGCACACUGCCACACUGAGCCUGGAGAAUCUUCCCCCAGAAUGCUUUGAAUUAUUAGUCAAACAGAGAGUUUCUUUCUGGCAGUAAGAGCAAUAAAAUGUGAGAUUCACGAGUUGGCCUUCAUGUUUCUCGCCUUUGGAGAAAGCUGUCCCACAGAGAGGGAGAGUGCAGGCCUCUGAAGAGAGUCACAGAUAGAGAUGAGGAGUCCUGGGGGGAUCUAGACCCUGACUCCAGUUAUCCCUGAGACCCAAACACAUCCCCAUUUUUCUCACAACUUGCCAGUCUACCCUUCCCUGGAUCCCACAAUGCAUUCUAAUACCUUCCAAUAAUUUUUUUUUCUUUUUUGAGAGAAAGUCUCAUCCUGUUGCCCAGGCUGGAGUACAGUGGCGCAAUCUUGGCUCACUGCAACCUCCACCUGCUAGGUUGAAAUGUUUCUUGUGCCUUAGCCUCCCGAGUAGUUGGGAUUACAGGCAUGCGCCACCACACCUGGCUAAUUUUUGUAAUUUUAGUAGAGACGGGGUUUCAUCAGGUUGUCCAGGCACAUCUCAAACUCCUGGCACCAGUCUCCCAAAGUGCUGGGAUUACAGGUGUGAGCUACCACACCCGGCAAACUCAUAAUUAUUUAAUAAAGAAUUUAUAGUAAAUAACUAAAUUCCUAAGAAAUAGCUUAAGCUAUUCUUUGUGGGGUUUCUGUCAUCCAUAACCAAAAAAAAUUUAGAUAAAUGUAGUGUCCUCAUCUCUGGGGCAUCAAUUGCCACGAGUCAGUAAGUGCUGGAGGACAAGCUCCCUUGCUUAGAAAACUAGGCUGCAUUACAGAGGAAUUGUUUUAAGGAACAAUGCUUGAGGUUUCUAAGCAGAUGAAUUUAGAAAUCUGAACUAUGAGAGCAUAUUGAGAAUAUUAAGAAUAUUGGAGGCAGUAAUCAUGCAGGCUAGAUCACUUAAAGACCACCAGAGGAUGGGCUAUUAGAUGCUGGGUCAGACGCCUGUGCCUUUCCUUCAGUCCACGCACUGGCCACCCAGUAGGAACCUCCUUCUCUGCCCUUCCACCUUCUUGAGCCCUGUCACCUCUGUUCUCAGCCUGCCCUUGGCCUUGGAUUAGUACGUCGGCCUCCUUCAGAUCAGAGCUGUCUGCUAUUAACUCAGUUCUUAGCGUCGACCUAUUUCCUGGCAUAGCCGUUAAUGACCUGCUUACACUUUUCCUAGUACAGCCAUCCCUUGGUAUCCAUUGGGGAUUGGUUCCAGGACCACCUCAUAGAUACCAAAAUCUGUGGAUGCUCAAGUCUCUGAUAAAAAAUGGCAUAGUAUUUGCAUAUAACCCAUGUAAUUCUCCCACGUAUUUAAAAUCCUUUCUAGCUUAUUUGUAAUACUGAAUACAAUCCCUACACAUUACUUCAUUCAUGUGGAUUCAAUGGAGUACUCGGCAUGCAGCAAAUUCAAGUUUUGCUUUUUGGUACUUUGUGAAAACAUUUUUUUUCUGCAUAUUUUCUAACUGUGUUUGGUUGAAUCUAUGGUUGUGGAACCUACAGAGAGCCAACUGUAUAUGACUACUCUCUGAAGUGUGUUUUACCUUUUUGUGUCCAAGCUGAAAACUUGAAGGGCCCCCUGAGCCACAAGAGGGCUCAAUCAAGCGAAGGAGUUACUCAAAGACCAGCCAGAUGGCACUCAUUGGCUGGAAAGCCUGUAAUGAUUUAAAGGAAUUCUUCUUGGCUUUUAGGAUUUAAAAAAAUUCUUCUUGACUUUUAGUAUUUG
RNAcentral lists this long non-coding RNA (26609 nucleotides) under Homo sapiens (human). Its description in RNAcentral is "non-protein coding lnc-C6orf201-2:8". The record is from RNAcentral. Lineage: Eukaryota; Metazoa; Chordata; Mammalia; Primates; Hominidae.